This is a non-coding RNA of Ameiurus melas (black bullhead), 139 nucleotides long. NCBI's taxonomy places the organism in Eukaryota, Metazoa, Chordata, Actinopteri, Siluriformes, Ictaluridae. The record is from the annotation of a GenBank genome assembly.
GCAUUGGUGGUUCAGUGGUAGAAUUCUAGCUUGCCAUGUUGGAGGCCUGGGUUUGAACUUGAAGGUAAGCAUUGGUGUUUCACUGGUAGAAUUCUAGCUUGACAUGUUGGAGACCUGGGUUUGAUUCCCAGCCAAUGCA